Long non-coding RNA from Piliocolobus tephrosceles (Ugandan red Colobus), 2451 nucleotides. The record is from Ensembl. NCBI's taxonomy places the organism in Eukaryota, Metazoa, Chordata, Mammalia, Primates, Cercopithecidae.
UAUAGACACAAACUUUUCCAAUUCUAGAGUAAUACAAAACCAAUCAACAAAUAUACCAAAUAAUGUAAAUAAAUUACUACGAUAUGCUACUCAACCAUUUCCAAGUAUAAUCAAUAUGAACAAUAAUACAACAUUGGAUGAACAUGUGGAAUAUAUAAGUAAUAAUGAACUUGAUGAAAGAAAAAAUUUCAAAAAUAUAAACGAAGCAAACUAUAAUAAUUUAAAAAGUGGUACAAACGUUGAAAAAAGAAGUAUCUCAUUAGCAUCGAACAAAUUAACAGAUAAUAUAAAAUAUAUACAUAAUAAUUCUGUUCAAACAAAACAACAAAAUGAUAUACCAUAUAUUUUUUUAGACAAUUCAAAUGCACAAGAAGAUUAUACAAAUAAUAUAAAUAUUAUGCGCAAUAUAAAUAGUAGAAAUAAUUGUAGUUAUGUGGAUAGUGAUUAUUUAGAUACUAACAGUGUUAGUGCAGAUACGAAUAGUAUUAGUACAGAUAAUAAUAGUAAUAGUACAUAUAAUAAUAGUACUAGUACAUAUAAUAAUAGUACUAAUACAGAUAAUAAUAGUACUAAUACAGAUAUAAAUACUACCAGUACAUAUACUAAUAGUACUUAUAUGGGGAAUAAAAUGAUAUCACCAAAUAAUAGUACUUACACUAAUGAUAAUAAUUAUUCUGUUCAUAAUAGAUCACAUUGUGAUUUAUCUUUACGUACGCACAACACAAUGCAUCCAACGCAUUCAACGCAUUCAACGCAUUCAACGCAUCCAACACAAAUACCUAUAAAUAAACAAAUGAACCUUUUUUUUUGUAGUGCCAAUGGAAAUGAUAUAAAUAACCGCGCAUGCUAUACUCCCCAUACAAAUAACUUAAUGGAUCUAAAUCAGCAUAACAUUAAUAGGACAAAUAUUGGUAAUAUAACAAAUGUUUCUAAUAUGUGUAACAUAGGGAAUUUACAUAAUCAGCCCAUUAGAUAUAAUAGUGCAAAUAUACAAAAUAAAAAUCAAACUGAUAUGAAUUCAAAUAUAAACCAACUAGGUUUUAUAUAUCAAAGGAUGAAUUCCCUUAAUGGUCAAUCAAUACGUUAUAUAUGUACGAAUGAAAAUCAACAUAACCCCAACCAACAUAACCCCAACCAACAUAACCCGAAUCAACAUAACCCCAACCAACAUAACCCGAAUCAACAUAACCCCAACCAACAUAACCCGAAUCAACAUAACCCCAAUCAACGUACGCCUAGUCAAGAACAUAUGAACCAAACAAACAUGAGUGAUGCACAUUAUAGUAUCCAAUAUUUAAAUCGAACGAACAACAACGUAAAAAAUGUUAAUAAGAACGCUUGUUAUAUUCCACUCAAUGCUUCGGUUUUAAAGUCAAACACUGUGAACACGCCUUAUAAUGAUAGUACGAUGUCAAAUGUAAUGAAUAUGGAUAUUGAAGGUAAUUUAAGUAAUAUUUUAACACAAAUGGGUCACCAAAAAGAUGCUCCUUCUUCACAAAAUAUAAUGCAGCAACAACAACAACAACAACCCAACACUGAUAAAAAUAUGAUUCAAAACGUGAAUCAAAACACGAAUAAUGAUAACGAUGAAGAUAAAAAUAAUCAAACAAAUAUUCAUUCAUCAUUCAAUGAAAUACAUAAUCAUUGCACUCGAGAAAAUAAAACAUUAAAUGAAAAAAUACAAAACGAAACAGUUUUUAAGCAAAUUCAAGAACAAAUACAAAUGAUACAUUCAAAUCAACUUCACCCACAAAAAAUAAAUUUACAACAAUUAAAAAUGUAUCCAACGCAACAACAAAUACAUAUUCAUCAUAUGCAAUCGCCACUAAAUGGUCACCAAUUACCAUUACAACAUUUGUAUCCAAAACGANNNNNNNNNNNNNNNNNNNNNNNNNNNNNNNNNNNNNNNNNNNNNNNNNNNNNNNNNNNNNNNNNNNNNNNNNNNNNNNNNNNNNNNNNNNNNNNNNNNNAACACGAAUCAGAUAAACACGAAUCAGAUAAACACGAAUCAGAUAAACACGAAUCAGAUAAACACGAAUCAGAUAAACACGAAUCAGAUAAACACGAAUCAGAUAAACACGAAUCAGGCAAACACGAAUCAGGAAAACACGAAUCAGAUGAACACGAAUCAGAUGAACACGAACCAAAUGAACACGAACAUGAUACAUAAUAAUCACUAUCAACAAGAAUUAAAAAAUGGUGUGCAAAAUGUACAAACAUCUAUUCCUUUAUCUCAAAGAAGAACAAAACAAAUUUAUAACACUAAUCAGAAUGUUUUAUUAUAUGAAGAAAAUGAAAAAACUAACCAAGUAAGACAAACGAGCAUGCCUUUUAAGAAGCCAUUAACAAAUGUACAUAAUAUGCAAAUGGUUAAUAACGUGGAUGAACGAAUUUCGAUUGGAGGGGUGUAUAAUAAUAAUUUAAAUCAAGGUGUAGUAUAUAUGAUGAAUA